RNAcentral lists this ribosomal RNA (203 nucleotides) under uncultured bacterium. RNAcentral describes it as "partial 16S ribosomal RNA". It matches the Rfam family "Bacterial small subunit ribosomal RNA", at positions 328 to 544 of the family's 1533-position model. The record is from RNAcentral.
ACGCUCGACACCUACGGAGGCAGCAGUGGGGAAUAUUGCACAAUGGGGGAAACCCUGAUGCAGCGACGCCGCGUGGAGGAAGAAGGUCUUCGGAUUGUAAACUCCUGUUGUUGGGGAAAAAGAGGAUGGUACCCAACAAGGAAGUGACGGCUAACUACGUGCCAGUAGCCGCGGUAAGUACUGAGCGGGCGUGGCGAAGGACG